ACGGAGGGAGCGAGCGUUGUUCGGAUUUAUUGGGCGUAAAGGGCAUGUAGGCGGCUUUGCAAGUCGGGUGUGAAAGCCCAUCUCUUAAAGAUGGAACGGCAUUCGAAACUGCAAGGCUUGAGUUCAGGGGAAGAAAGCGGAAUUCUCGGUGUAGCGGUGAAAUGCGUAGAUAUCGAGAAGAACACCAGCGGCGUAAGCGGCUUUCUAUCCUGAAACUGACGCUGAGAUGCGAAAGCCAGGGGAGCGAACGG
Molecule: ribosomal RNA, 251 nt
Filed under: uncultured prokaryote
Description: partial 16S ribosomal RNA
Rfam family: Bacterial small subunit ribosomal RNA
Source: RNAcentral